AUUGAACGCUGGCGGCAUGCCUUACACAUGCAAGUCGAACGGCAGCACGGGAGCAAUCCUGGUGGCGAGUGGCGAACGGGUGAGUAAUAUAUCGGAACGUGCCCAGUCGUGGGGAUAACGUAGCGAAAGCUACGCUAAUACCGCAUACGAUCUACGGAUGAAAGCGGGGGGAUCGCAAGACCUCGCGCGAUUGGAGCGGCCGAUAUCAGAUUAGGUAGUUGGUGNGGUAAAGGCUCACCAAGCCGACGAUCUGUAGCUGGUCUGAGAGGACGACCAGCCACACUGGGACCUGAGACACGGCCCAGACUCCUACGGGAGGCAGCAGUGGGGAAUAUUGGGACAACUGGGCGCAAGCCUGAUCCAGCCAUGCCGCGUGCAGGAAUAAGGUCCUA
This 392-nucleotide ribosomal RNA is filed under the name uncultured bacterium. Its description in RNAcentral is "bacterial SSU rRNA". It matches the Rfam family "Bacterial small subunit ribosomal RNA", at positions 30 to 419 of the family's 1533-position model. The record is from RNAcentral.